Molecule: non-coding RNA, 139 nt
Organism: Octopus bimaculoides (California two-spot octopus)
Lineage: Eukaryota; Metazoa; Mollusca; Cephalopoda; Octopoda; Octopodidae
Source: Rfam
AUUAUUGCGCAGAGGCGGUACCAUGGCCAAUGAGGUAAAUCUGAGGCGUGGUUAUUGCUAGUUGAAAAUUAUUAUUAUUAUUAUUAUUAUUAUUAUUAAGACGGUGAGCUGGCAGAAUUGUGAGCACGUUGGAUGAAAU